GGACGGGUGAGUAAGACAUGGGUAACCUACCCCACAGUGAGGAAUACCGGCGAGAAAUCGCCGACAAGAGCGCAUACGCUUCCCGAAAGGGAAGCAAAGUCGCAAGACGCUAUGGGAUGGGCCUGUGGCCGAUUAGCUGGUUGGUGAGGUAACGGCUCACCAAGGCUGUGAUCGGUAGCUGGUCUGAGAGGAUGAUCAGCCACACUGGGAUUGAGAACGGCGCGCAGACUCCUACGGGGGGCAGCAGUGAGGAAUUUUCGGCAAUGGGGGCAACCCUGACCGAGCAACGCCGCGUGCAGGNAAGACGGCCUUCGGGUUGUAAACUGCUUUUCUGUGGGACGAGGAAGGACGGUACCACAGGAAGAAGCCCCGGUAACUACGUGCCAGCCGCCGCGG
Molecule: ribosomal RNA, 396 nt
Filed under: uncultured bacterium
Lineage: Bacteria
Description: bacterial SSU rRNA
Rfam family: Bacterial small subunit ribosomal RNA
Source: RNAcentral